This is a long non-coding RNA of Amblyraja radiata (thorny skate), 181 nucleotides long. RefSeq lists it as uncharacterized. NCBI's taxonomy places the organism in Eukaryota, Metazoa, Chordata, Chondrichthyes, Rajiformes, Rajidae. The transcript has 3 exons. The record is from RefSeq and is a predicted model, not a curated record.
UGUGUAUAGCUUGAUUGAAGUGUAAGCCUUAAUACAGUUUCAGAGUAGGAAUGUGAAUGUCAUUCACCACAAGCUUGCCCUUUUGAGUCAGAGCUGUCGAGCACAGAAACAGGCCCUUCAGCCCGACUCGGCCAAGCAGACCAAGUUGACAUUCAGGGCUUGUCCCAUUUGCCUGCAUGUG